GUUGAGUAAGAAGUUGCUGCGGCCAAGGUCAAAGAGGUUUUUACCUGCUUUCUCCUCGAGGAUUAUGAUGGCUCCCUGUCUUACAUUGAGGUCUUUCAGAACUGAUCAUUAUUUUUACAGCCAAUGUUCCAAAUCAGAAUCUGAUCUAUUAAUAAUGAUCCUUUUUUAUCUUUAAAAUUGUAUUCAAUAGGCAGUACACAGAUACUAAUUUCAUAAAAAGCUUUGGGUACUAUGACAGAGGUGGAAACAGAGGCCCAGAGAAGUUAUUUAAAGGCUUUUCCCCAAGGUUGUACAGCCACUGAAGUACUGCCAGCAUGUGACCUACAAU
Long non-coding RNA from Leopardus geoffroyi (Geoffroy's cat), 328 nucleotides. RefSeq lists it as uncharacterized. The transcript has 3 exons. NCBI's taxonomy places the organism in Eukaryota, Metazoa, Chordata, Mammalia, Carnivora, Felidae. The record is from RefSeq and is a predicted model, not a curated record.